GCUGAUAUACUACGCUACCUGUUGGAUGGCUUGGCUUGGGUGCUGAUGAAGGGCGUGGCAAGCUGCGAUAAGCCCCGGGGAGACGCACGCAGUCUUCGAUCCGGGGAUCCCCGAAUAGGACUUCCUGGCGGCUUCGGCCGCCGCUCCGUGAGGAGCGGGAACCCCCUGAACUGAAACAUCUUAGUAGGGGGAGGAAAAGAAACCAAUUGGGAUUUCCUGAAUAGCGGCGAGCCGGCGCGAAUGUGGUGUAUGGGAUCGGUCUCUCUCUCCUCGGCGAAGCCGAGGUGUUCUGGAAAGCUCCGCCAUAGAGGGUGAUAGCCCCGUAGGUGUGAGCCGAGAGUGAUUGGACCGAUUUCCGGAGUAGCGUGCCUUGAGACUGGCGCGUGAAUCUGGGAGACAUUAACUCCCAAGGCUAAACACAACCCAAGACCGAUAGCGCACUAGUACGGUGACGGAAAGUUGAAAAGCCCCCCGAGAGGGGCGUUAAAAGAGCCUGAAAUCAGGUAGUUACAGACGGUUGCGGCCCGAAAGGGUUGAAGCCACCCGAAGGAAACCAGGGUGACCUGGCGGUACGGAGGUGGUGGACCAGGGUCGCAUGUUCCGUUUCGAAUCACGGGCCGGGGAGUUCUUUUGCGUGGCGAGCCUAAGGGUAUUAAACCCGUAAGCAUAGGGAAACCAAAAGGCGAACAGCCGUAAGGUGAGUCGCUGGGUCUUAAAGGGCCCGGAGUCACGCGGAUGAGACUAGAAACCAGGUGAUCUUUCCCUGAGCAAGGUGAAGUCAGACGAAAGUCUGAUGGAGGCCUGAAGGGGUACUGAUAUGCAAUUCGUUCCUCUGACUUGGGGAAAGGGGCAAAAGGCCAAUCUAACCUGGUGAUAGCUAGUUCCCUCCGAAGUAUGUUGCAGCAUAGUCUCGAGUGAGAAUGUCGGCGGGGUAGAGCACCAAUCGGGAGGCACGGAGGGGAAACCCUUCACCUCGCUUUUGAACUCCGAAUACGCCGACUUCGUAGAACUCGGGAAACGGGAGGCACGGGUUAAGCUCGUGCUCCGAGAGGGGGACAACCCAGACUGGGGUUAAGGGCCCAAAGUGCUGGCUAAGUGAUAAAUAAAAGGGCGUCGUAAGCCCAAAACAGCGGGGAGGUAGGCUUAGAGGCAGCCAUCCUUUAAAGAAAUCGUAACAGAUCACCCGCCGAGGCUUGGGGCCCCGAAGAUGGACGGGUCUAAAGCCAGCCUCCGAUACCCCAGGGGUGCAUCUGAGGAUGCAUUCUAGUAGGAGGGCGUCCCGAUUGGGUCGAAGCAGGGCCGUGAGGUCCUGUGGACCGGUCGGGAUUGCAGAUCCCGGCGGUAGUAGCAGCAGAGUCGGGUGAGAAUCCCGAUCGCCGAAAGGGCAAGGGUUUCCAGGCAAUGCGUCGUCAGCCUGGAGUUAGUCGGUCCUAAGACCAGCGUUAACAUGACUGGCCUAAAGGGGAACUGGUUAACAUUCCAGUACUACGGAGGUACACGUGGCAACACAGAGCUUCACACGUGACGCUUCGGGGUAGGUCGAACAGGGUUGUCGCCCUGUUUAACUGUCCAAGUCCGGGGAGUACCGUAAUGGUGAGAACCGGACGAAACCAGGAAUAGCCCCCCGUUUAGGGGGGUUCGAUCGAUCUCUGGAGCCCAUGAAAAGCGUGUGAGGAUGGAUCCUCCGUAUCCGUACCCAGAACCAACACAGGUGCCCAGGGUGAGUAGCCCAAGGCGUGUCGGGGACACUCUAGGCGAGGGAAUUCGGCAAAUUGGCCCCGUAUCUUUGGUAUAAGGGGUGCCUACUGUCUUCGCGUGAGCGGGGAUGGUAGGUCGCAGUGACAAGGGGGUUCCGGCUGUUUACUAAAAACAUAGGUAGCCGCUAGAGCGAAAGCUUUCGUACGGCUAUUGAAUCCUGUCCAGUGGUGGUACCUGAAGCCUGAUUUCAACCGGGGGAAGGGCCGCUAAACGACGGGAGUAACUCUGACUCUCUCAAGGUAGCCAAAUGCCUUGUCGUGUAAGUUACGACGUGCAUGAAUGGAUCCACGAGGACCCCACUGUCCCCGCCUAGAUCCCGGUGAACCCACAGGCUGGACGAACAGUCCAGCGACCUCCAGCGGGACAAGAAGACCCCGUGGAGCUUUACUGCAGUCUGUCGCUGAGACGUGGCCUUGCUUGCAGAGCGUAGGUAGGAGCCAAUGAAUACACCUCUCCGGGGGUGUAGGAGGCGCCAAUGUAACACUACCCUUGUAAGGCUGCUUCUCUGACCGAGGCCUAGUUGUCCGGGACAACGGCAGAUGGGCAGUUUGGCUGGGGCGGCACCCCCUUGAAAAGGAAUCGAGGGGGCCCAAAGGCUAGCUCAGGGGGGACAGAAACCCUCCGUAGAGUGUAAAGGCAAAAGCUAGCCUGACCGGAUCUCCAACAAUACGAGUUCCGGAGGUGAAAGCCAGGCUUAACGAGCUAUCAGAUCCUUAUUAAUGAGGGUUGGUAGUGUCAGAAAAGUUACCCCGGGGAUAACAGGCUUGUCGCGGGCGAGAGUUCGCAUCGACCUCGCGGUUCGGUACCUCGAUGUCGGCUCUUCCUAUCCUGGCCUUGCAUGAGGGGCCAAGGGUGAGGCUGCUCGCCUAUUAAAAGGGAUCGUGAGCUGGGUUUAGACCGUCGUGAGACAGGUCGGAUUUUAUCUGUUGGGGGUGUUGGUUGUCUGAGGGGAAAGGGUCUUUAGUACGAGAGGAACGAGACGCUGAGGCCUCUGGUGUACCGGUUGUCCGACAGGGCAGGCCGGGCAGCUACGCCUCUUCGGAUAAGAGCUGAAUGCAUCUAAGCUCGAAGCCGGCCCUGAAAAUAGACAGCCUUCCCGUUUCCGCAGCUUGUCUGUGGGACGGGUGGAGAGCGCCCGUAAAAGACGGGUUUGAUGGAGCCGGGGUGUAAGUAUCGAGGCUUUGGCCGAGGUAUUCAGCCCGCGGCCCCCAAUUGCUCAAUUUAUCAGUA
RNAcentral lists this ribosomal RNA (2988 nucleotides) under marine sediment metagenome. Its description in RNAcentral is "bacterial LSU rRNA". It matches the Rfam family "Archaeal large subunit ribosomal RNA". The record is from RNAcentral.